GAAACAUUUCAGUAUGCCAUGUUCUAAACAAACUCCAAUAAUCAAGAACUCGAUGCAGCAAUGGUUUGAAGAAUGGUUUUGUGCCAUGGAUUGGAGAGAUGAUCGAUCAGAUUGUCAAUAGGACCAACAUGAGUAACAGAAGCCUGAACGAAGAUACCAAGCAUAGCCACCAUAGCUAGGCGUCCGUUUUUAAUCUCUUUCAGUUUCCAGUCUUUAGCAUUCUUGAUAUCUUUUCCAAUUCCAAGAGGAUUCAAUAAAGGACCACCUGGAUACCCUGGUUCAAGGCCUUCCAGUGCAGCUUCUAGUCCAAAAAAAGAUCCAGGUUUUGCUUGAGAGCCAGGAUGAAGAAAAUCCAUGUACCUUUUUGUUUCAACGAACCCCAUCAAUAAUAGUUGAAUGAUGAGCAGAGUCGUUGUGCUGGCAAAGUUAAAUUUUGUAGCUCCUGCUUCAUACCACACUGGCAAAUCCCUUAUUCGAGUGACACGAAGCAAAUCAGUUAAAAGUAUUCCAGCAACCCCAGCCAUGGCGAAGCGGGCAUGAACAAGUUCUGCUUGUACAUACCAUUUCAAACUUUCAGGAUCCUCUCCAAGUCCUAGUGGAUCAAAACCAAAAUCUCCAGCAAGAGUUCCAUCAAGAUGAGGUGGAGGGUCAAGGCCAGGAAGCCAUGUUGGCCUUUGGUGAGCUUGAGCCAGAGGUGUUAGAGAAUGUCCUUUUCUAGCUCUAGUCGAAUUAAAUCCUUUUACACAAGUUCUACGUAUACUCUUUCCAUGAAAAGAUGAACCAGACAAUAAUGUCAAAACUUGGAAACUUCUACCCACUGCAAU
This 824-nucleotide unclassified non-coding RNA is filed under the name Hevea brasiliensis (rubber tree). The record is from RNAcentral. Lineage: Eukaryota; Viridiplantae; Streptophyta; Magnoliopsida; Malpighiales; Euphorbiaceae.